This 301-nucleotide ribosomal RNA is filed under the name uncultured bacterium. Its description in RNAcentral is "partial 16S ribosomal RNA". It matches the Rfam family "Bacterial small subunit ribosomal RNA", at positions 509 to 807 of the family's 1533-position model. The record is from RNAcentral.
CAGUAGCCGCGGUAAUACAAAGGGUGCGAGCGUUAAUCGGAUUUACUGGGCGUAAAGCGUGCGUAGGCGGCUUCUUAAGUCGGAUGUGAAAUCCCUGAGCUUAAUUUAGGAAUUGCAUUCGAUACUGGGAAGCUAGAGUAUGGGAGAGGAUGGUAGAAUUCCAGGUGUAGCGGUGAAAUGCGUAGAGAUCUGGAGGAAUACCGAUGGCGAAGGCAGCCAUCUGGCCUAAUACUGACGCUGAGGUACGAAAGCAUGGGGAGCAAACAGGAUUAGAUACCCCUGUAGUCCCUGUCUCUUAUAC